CAGCCGAUCCAUGUGAGCGACAAGCAGUGAGCGGAGAAUCUAAUGAACUCGGCGACACAAUCUUGCAUCGUCUAUUUUGCCUCGUCGACGAUCUUUGUGUGGCCUAGAAAAAGAUAACUUAUUUAUAAGAGUAUUUUUUAGCCGACCUGUGUUGGUCGGCUUCUCGUUUAAACUCUCGUUAGUAAUUCAAAUUGCGGAUAUUUUGGUAGGAGAUAUCCGUGGAUUCUUUAUAGAUGCGUAACCUAGAUAUUGUAUUCAAAGGGUCAAUUAUACACAAAUAUUUUUGAGAGGGUGUCAAUAAUAAUAAAUAAAUGUUGAGAGGUUAUUUUUUUAGUAUCGGAUAAUAGAUUAUUGGGAAGUGGUGGGGUCAUGGCCCCUAUAGUUUUAUAUUGGUUUCGCCACUCAAAAUGUGAAGUAUCGAAGGAAACUGUGAUUGAUUUUUGUGAUUUUGCUCAUGCAUUGCGGUCC
This 468-nucleotide long non-coding RNA is filed under the name Erythranthe guttata (spotted monkey flower). RNAcentral describes it as "long non-coding RNA (EGUT_LNC000687)". Lineage: Eukaryota; Viridiplantae; Streptophyta; Magnoliopsida; Lamiales; Phrymaceae. The record is from RNAcentral.